This 301-nucleotide ribosomal RNA is filed under the name uncultured bacterium. Its description in RNAcentral is "partial 16S ribosomal RNA". It matches the Rfam family "Bacterial small subunit ribosomal RNA", at positions 509 to 808 of the family's 1533-position model. The record is from RNAcentral.
CAGUCGCCGCGGGAAUACGUAGGUCCCGAGCGUUGUCCGGAUUUAUUGGGCGUAUAGCGAGCGCAGGCGGUUAGAUAAGUCUGAAGUUAAAGGCUGUGGCUUAACCAUAGUACGCUUUGGAAACUGUUUAACUUGAGUGCAAGAGGGGAGAGUGGGAUUCCAUGUGUAGCGGUGAAAUGCGUAGAUAUAUGGAGGAACACCGAUGGCGAAAGCGGCUCUCUGGCUUGUAACUGACGCUGAGGCUCGAAAGCGUGGGGAGCAAACAGGAUUAGAUACCCCUGUAGUCCCUGUCUCUUAUACA